UCCGUGAGGCUCUCGGGUGUUUCCGUCUUCACUCGUAGAUUUUCGCCCGUAUUUUCGGGUGUUUUGGCCGAGCACUCUCGGAAGGUUCCGGCAUCGAUCGGCUUCUUUCGCUUCUCUCUUUCGGGAAUCUCCGUAGAGCUUUCGGGAGUUUCCGCCGGGUGCAGAGCUGUUCCCGCCUUUUGGGGGCGCGGGCGAGUCUUCGCUGAGUUGCAGGGUCAAAAGAAAUGCUGAGACCUCCAUCAGCUUGGUCAGUGCUGACUUUUGUUAGAGCAAAUUGGCUGGAUUCUUGAUGGAUGGCCUCUGAAAUAAUUCCAUACAUUACCUUAAGCAGCACUACACAGCAGCUCUGACAUAGAGAGGCCUGAAGUGCUCAUUGUCUGCGAUGCUUUCAACAGGCACCCAUUCUUUGCAUGGAUCCAUUUGAUUUACAAUGAAUUUGGUGAGUUUUUUAAACAUUCUGCUGUGGCUGAGGUUUUGAAGCAAAGCCAAGUGGAUUUGUGCCUUGGGAAAGAGGGAACACAAGCUAAGCUGAAUUACUUGAAAUAAUAGGAGAACAUUGUAACAAAUGACUUUAACGAUUAAGAAGAUUUCAAAAUAAUGACUCAAAACCUCCCUCACUGUCCAAGGACACAAGUUUCACAGGGUUGUUUCAGGGAGUCUUUUAAGAGGAAGCAGCAGGAGCUGUGGCUUGUUUGGCCUUGUCCCCCUUUGCUGUUGAGGCUCAGUGAUUGUGCAGAGAGAGCACAGCUGGCAGACCCUCAGGGUGCUGAUUUUGGAGACAAAUGUCCCCCAAAAUAGAGAGGCAUCUGCCCAGCCCAGCCUCAUUGGGCAGGCCUUGGUGGUCUGCAGGGGAGAGCUGGUGUUUGAGAGCCAGGAAGAAAUGUUUCUGAGAGAAGCCAGAAGCCCUGUUUCUUUUCUGAGACAGCUUGUUUUUAUCAAAAGGUUUCUGUUUCAGCUUUCUGGUGUUUUAUGGGAAGGAGCUGGGGAAGGGAAAUUGGGCAAUCCAGAUUGGUUUUGAUGGGAAGGGACCUUAAUGCGCCUCCCAUUCCCCUCCCUGUUAUGGUCAGGUACACCUUCUAGUCUCCCAGGGGUUUCCAAGCCCUGUCCAACCUGGUUAUAGACACUUCCAUGGAUGGGGCAUCCAUAGCUUAUCUGGGCAACCUGUUCUGGGUCCUUCAGCAUCCUCAGAGGGAUUUCUUCCCAAUAUCCCAUCUAAGGUGACCCUGUUUCAAUAUAAACCACUCCAAAGACAAAUAGCCUUGUAUGCUCAAGGUUAGUCACCCAUUCAGGUCUCAUUCCCGUAAAGGUCUCCAAGAAGAGAAGAAAAGCUAAACAAAAGCACUUAACAGAGAGCUCCCACCAACCCUCUCCCCUACCCAAAGCCCUGGGAUAAUGCACUUGCCUGUUUGUGGGGUGGGGGACGUGCAGGGCAGACCGUGGGGCUGCUGAGGUGAUGUGGCCUCUGGAGAGCAGCAGGGCUGGGGAGAAAAUCUCUGUCUUCCUUUCUGCUCAGAGGUGUGGAAGUGUUUGUGAAACACAGGAGCCGUGAAUCGCACAGAAGCUCGCACCACCACAACUCCAGAGCAAAGAGUAAAUUGAUUUCUCUUACCUUGCUAACGGGGGCUCCCUGAAGCAGCACCUGGGCAGGGGCAGUGUUAGAUGUGAUCCGUGCUGGAAGACCCCUGGCAGUACCCUGCAGCUUAUCAGGAGCUGUUCCCAGCUGUGAGGUCACUUCAGCAAUUUUACAUCCUCGUCACCCGUGUUCCGCUUCUACAAAUCGGCCGUUGCUUACGUAACACUUCCUUUUUACUCACUGAGCAGAGUCUGUUACAGGGGCUGUUACUGGAACUUGUAGAGAUGUAGGAGAUCUAAGUCCACUGCUGGAAUUGUCCCAGACCAGAUUGGACAGGAAUGUGUCCCUGCCCCUGGCAGCAGGUGGGACUCAAUGGCUUUAAGGUCCCUUCAAGCCAAAUCAUUCCAUCAUUGCAUGAUUCAACUUCAUUGAGCCAGUGCCUCCAGUGAUUGCAGUGGUACACUCUUCUUCUGUGGCUUGAUAGAAAACCCUUUGGACCAGGAAGCACCUCCUUUCAUCUCUACACUGGCAGGGUCAAAAGAAAUGCUGAGACCUCCAUCAGCUUGGUCAGUGCUGACUUUUGUGAGAGUAAAUUGGCUGGAUUCUUGAUGGAGGGCCUCUGAAAUAAUUCCAUACAUUACCUUAAGCAGGAUUAGACAGACUCAGCUCUGUAAGUAUAUGACACAACGAGGAAAGCUGAAACUUGGUACAGUUCAGCCUCAAAUGGUUCAAAACCAUUACCUAUGGUAUUUGAUAAAUUCCUAUUGAUAAAUUUGAGGAUUACCUGUGCUUUUUCCAUCUUCUCCAGGCAGCAGCACAUCCUCCAGUGUGAAUCCUGUCUGCUGGUAGUAGGGAGCUGGGUGGAAUAUGUGGUUUGCUUUUCUUUUUUUAAUCAGUAGACAGAAAGGCCUGAAGUGCUCAUUGUUUGCGAUGCUCUCGACAGGAUCCAAUUCUUUGCAUGGAUCCAUUUGAUUUACAAUGAAUUUGUUGAGUUUUUUAAACAUUCUUGCUGUGCCUGAGGUUUUGAAGCAAAGCCAAGGGGAAUCGCUCUUUGGGAAAGAGGGAACACAAGUUAAGCCAAAUGACUUGAAAUCAUAGCACAGAAUCACAGAAUGAACUAGGUUGGAAAAGACCUUUGAGAUCAUCUAGUCCAGCCUAUGACUUUAAGAUUUCCUCAUCAGCUAAAUCAUGGUGCUGAGUGCCACCUCCACUCUUUUCUUAAACACAUCCAGGGAUGAUUACCUCUGCUCGGGCAGAUGUUUCCAGUGGCCUAUCACUCUUUCAGUGAAGAAUUUUUUCCUGAUGUCUAAGCUGAACUUCCCCUGCUGCAGGUUAAGCAGGACAUUGUAACAAAGUAUUUAUUUAAUUAUUAAGAAGUUUUCAAAAUAAGGACUGAUAUUACCCAGGGACACAAGUUUCCCAGGGUUGUUACAGGGAGCUUUUGGAGAGGAAGCAGCAGGAGCUGUGGCUUGUUUGGCCUCGUUUGCCUUUGCUGCUGAACCCCAGUGAUUGUGCAGAGAGAGCACAGCAGACACACGCUGUGGAUGCUGAUAUUAAAGGAAAAUGUCCCCCAAAAUAAAAAUCAGCCCAGCCCAGCCUUAAUCGGGCAAGUCCUGGUGGUCUGCAGGGGAGAGCUGGUGUUUGAGGGCCAGAAAGAAAUCCCUAUUUCCUUCCUGACACAGCUUCUUUUCAGGAAAAAGUUUCAGUUUCACUUUUCUGAUGUUUUACGGGAAAGAGCUGGAGAGAAGAAAUUGAACAAUCCAGAACGGUUUUGAUGGGAAGGGACCUUAAAGCUCAUCCCAUUCCUCUCCCUAACAUGGUCAGGGACACCUUCUGCUAUCCCAGAUUGCUCCAAGCCCUGGCCUUGGACACUUCCAGGGAUGUGGGCCAGUGUGCCAGUGCCUGAGCACCACACAGAGGGAUUUCUUCCCACUAUCCCAUCUAACCCUGCUCUCUGUGAGUUUAAACCAUUCCAAAGACAAACAGCUUUGGGUGCUCACUGUUAGUAGUGCUUCCGAGCUCUUUCUAUUGGAACUCUCCAAGAAGAGAAGAAAAACUAAACAAGAGCAGUUAAAGAGAGAGCUGGCACCAACCCUCUCCCCUACCCAAAGCCCUGGGAUAAUGCACUUGCCUGUUGGUGGGGUGGGGGGCGUGCAGAGCAGACCGUGGGGCUGCUGAGGUGAUGUGGCCUCUGGAGAGCAGCAGGACUGGGGAGAAAAUCUCUGUCUUCCUUUCUGCUCAGAGGUGUGGAAGUGUUUGCGAAACGCAGGAGCCGUGAAUCGCACAGAAGCUCGCACCACCACAACUCCAGAGCAAAGAGUAAAUUGAUUUCUCUUACCUUGCUAACGAGGGCUCCCUGAAGCAGCACCUGGGCAGGGGCAGUGUUAGAUGUGAUCCGUGCUGGAAGACCCCUGGCAGUACCCUGCAGCUUAUCAGGAGCUGUUCCCAGCUGUGAGGUCACUUCAGCAAUUUUACAUCCUCAUCACCGGUGUUCCAUUUCCACAAAUUGACUGUUGCCUACGUAACACUUCCUUUUUACUCACUGAGCAGAGUCUGUUACAGGGGCUGGAACUUGUAGAGAUGUAGGAGAUCUAAGUCCACUGCUGGAAUUGUCCCAGACCAGAUUGGACAGGAAUGUGUCCCUGCCCCUGGCAGCAGGUGGGACUCAAUGGCUUUAAGGUCCCUUCAAGCCAAAUCAUUCCAUCAUUGCAUGAUUCAACUUCAUUGAGCCAGGUAACGCUGCUCUUCUUUGACAGAUGAAAAAAUGAACUCAGCAGGGGAUAUUGGCAAUAAAUUCCUCUCUGUGAGGGUGGUGUGGCCCCAGAACAGGUUACCCAGAGAAGCUGAGGCUGCCCCAUCCCUGGGAGUGUCCAAGGGCAAGUUGGAUAUUGCUUGGAGCAACGUGGGCUACUGGAAGGUGUCCCUGCCCAUAGCAGGGAGUGGGGAUGGCCCUGGAGCCUUGAGGUGCCUUCCACCCGAGCCAUUCCAUGUCUCCUGGGCACAUUGCCAUGCUUGUUUGACAGCAAAAGCCAUCCAUGUGAAGAUUCCAGGACUCGAGCACAAGUUUUUACCUGAAUACUUCAGUUUUAUUAGUCUCUCUUAGAAUACUGUACAAAGGAGUAAUAAAAAUAUUCACACUUUAUUUUAGAAAGUUCUCUACAUGAGACUCCUGUAUCCACAGCAAAAAGAAGGCUAUGGGAAAAAACCCCUAAAACUUUGUACAGAACAUUCCUUUAAAAACCCUCCCAACUAAUUCUGCUGAUUUAACUGAUCCAAGGAGGGUAUGGACACACCAACACUCACAUGCUUAAAAGAUAUUCUAGGCAAUGAUAAAGCAACAUAAGUCACAAGAAGGAAUAUUAAUGUGUUAACCCACUGCUGUCCCCUCCUUGAGGGCCAGUACCGAGCUUCUAAAAACAACCCAAAGUUGAACAGUGAUUCAAACAUAAAAGAGAAUAAGUAGCCCUCCAUUUAUUUUAAUUUUAUAGGCUUUUUCCUGCAAAGGUUAGGACUGUUUGCCAGCCUGGUAGCUCUGUGAAAGGACUCCCAGGUCAGGAUCCCUGAUUCAGGAGCAGCAGGCUGGGAGGACUUGCUGGUUUGCUGAGAGUCCUGGAGCAGGGGCUGCAUGGUGCUGACAGUGGCUGAGGGGCUUUGCCAAGUACAAGAUGGGACAGGCUGCUGCCAGUUCUUGGGAAGGCUUCCAGCCUUUCAGAAGUUUUUCUCUUUAAUUGCACACCAAAACAGAAAAGCUUAAAAUAACUUACCAGGGGUUGUUUUUCCAUCACAGGAGAUUUGAUCUCUCCAGGUAGGAACUUGUCCUGAUCAUGAUACAGGACCAGUGUGAGAGGAAAUCUGUCAAGUGUGGUGUGAUCAGAAUCCCAUUUAAAAUCAGUAACAAUCAGUUAUCUCCUCCCUGCAGCACCACAUCUGGUAAUGUUUCCUUUCUCCUCCCACAGUGUGGAUUCACCCUUGAUCUGUCCCCUGCCAGGACAUGUCUGACCACCCCUCAAGCUGCUCAUGCUGUCCUUUCACUUCAGACUGCCUCAGGUACACCCAGAAAUGGUGGUUUAAUUACAACUGACUUCUUGCUUUUGAUUUUUGACUGAUCCUGACACCUACCCUUAAGUUGGGAUCUUAAGGAAGAUGCUACCCCACGUGCAAUUGUUCAAAUACUUAUUAAUUAUAUAUAAAUACUUAACUCACCACAAUAGAACAUGAAAUCUUUCUUCAACUUGCUUCUUUCCAUACUACUUAUAUUUCCCUUUACAUUUCCCUUGACUGGAUUAACUGAGUCCUAAUUAAUGUCAGU
Passer domesticus (house sparrow) is the source of this 5882-nucleotide long non-coding RNA. RefSeq lists it as uncharacterized. Lineage: Eukaryota; Metazoa; Chordata; Aves; Passeriformes; Passeridae. The record is from RefSeq and is a predicted model, not a curated record. The transcript has 4 exons.